Molecule: long non-coding RNA, 611 nt
Filed under: Gallus gallus (chicken)
Lineage: Eukaryota; Metazoa; Chordata; Aves; Galliformes; Phasianidae
Source: RNAcentral
UGGGGAUGUAGCCCGUGGCACCGGAGCUCAGCGACCGCGCCUCCCACCAGUCACCCUCGGUGUUGUUGAUGAUGUGGAAUUUCUCCCCUUUCUGGAAGCUCAGAUCGUCCUCCGUCCUGGCCUCGUAGUCAUACAGGGCGAUGAAGAGCGUCACACCCCCACCUGUGAUGCUGCUGUGCGCCUGCAGUGUGUUGCAGGGGUAGAAGCCCGGCCCUGAGAAGGGCACAGGGGGGGACACGGCCGCAGCGUGGAAGUUGUUGAAGUCGGGGAUGUGGGUGAAGGCACCGCUGAGCUGCGUGGGGUCGGGGUCGUACUGCGAGGGGGGGUGUGCAGGGGUCCCCGUGCCGCUCCCCCCCUGCCCCUUGCCGGAUAUCUUCUCCUUGCAGUGCACACAGCCCAUCCUGGCACGGCUGUGACAGCUCCUCGGGUCACUUCAGCUGCUCCAUGUCAGCGUGGGGAGGAGAGGCACCGUCAGCCCUCUUCGCAUGGAGCCCCCCCGGGGCUGCACCCCGACCCCCCCCACCGGGGCCGGGCACAGCGCUGCGGGGCACAGUGCGGGGAGAGGCGGAGCGGUGCGUGCGGUUCCCCCGUUGCCUCUGAGCGGCUCUAUC